This 500-nucleotide ribosomal RNA is filed under the name uncultured bacterium. RNAcentral describes it as "partial 16S ribosomal RNA". It matches the Rfam family "Bacterial small subunit ribosomal RNA", at positions 30 to 523 of the family's 1533-position model. The record is from RNAcentral.
AUUGAACGCUGGCGGCAGGCCUAACACAUGCAAGUCGAGCGGAUGACGGGAGCUUGCUCCUUGAUUCAGCGGCGGACGGGUGAGUAAUGCCUAGGAAUCUGCCUGGUAGUGGGGGACAACGUUUCGAAAGGAACGCUAAUACCGCAUACGUCCUACGGGAGAAAGCAGGGGACCUUCGGGCCUUGCGCUAUCAGAUGAGCCUAGGUCGGAUUAGCUAGUAGGUGAGGUAAUGGCUCACCUAGGCGACGAUCCGUAACUGGUCUGAGAGGAUGAUCGGUCACACUGGAACUGGGAAACGGUCCAGACUCCUACGGGAGGCAGCAGUGGGGAAUAUUGGACAAUGGGCGAAAGCCUGAUCCAGCCAUGCCGCGUGUGUGAAGAAGGUCUUCGGAUUGUAAAGCACUUUAAGUUGGGAGGAAGGGCAGUAAGUUAAUACCUUGCUGUUUUGACGUUACCGACAGAAUAAGCACCGGCUAACUCUGUGCCAGCAGCCGCCGCGG